GUUCGUCAUGGGACUACCUUCUUUCUUUGCGGAACGAGUAAUCAACAAAUUAAAAGAUUACGCAGGCGGUAAACAAUUCGACUGGAAUUCUAUAACAUACGGUCAACUAUUUGCGUUCAUCAAAAAAGAAGGAUUAACAAUUUGCCAAGAGCAAAAAGAUAAAAAAAGAGAAAGAAAUGAAAAAUUCAAAAUUAAACAAAAUAUGGGAGAAUUCUGUAACCAAUAUGGUUACGAAAAACUAAAUCCACCGUCUAGACAAAAACAUAAACGUAAUAAAACUCAUAAAUAUUUUUCAAAAAGAAAACAUUAUCACAA
This 315-nucleotide long non-coding RNA is filed under the name Brassica napus (rape). RNAcentral's name for it is "long non-coding RNA (BNAP_LNC015876)". Lineage: Eukaryota; Viridiplantae; Streptophyta; Magnoliopsida; Brassicales; Brassicaceae. The record is from RNAcentral.